Nylanderia fulva is the source of this 826-nucleotide non-coding RNA. The record is from RefSeq and is a predicted model, not a curated record. Lineage: Eukaryota; Metazoa; Arthropoda; Insecta; Hymenoptera; Formicidae.
AAACCUGGCUAGGGAGCUAUCGCCGUGGCUACGUUGAUCGAAGCCAAACAUGAUCUUUGCCGGAGUAGCCUUGAUUGCGGAAUGUUUCUUGAAGCGGACCGAAGUGGUCAACAUGCAGUACAUCAAGUGGCAACGUGGGUAAAGGGUACAGCUGUGUUUCCCCCUCCAAACGAUUCGAAGAACUAUUCGACAUAAUGCAACACCGCAAUGAGCCAAUUCGUCGUGGUGGAUUCGCAACAUAUUCGUCACCAUUGACUCAGGAUCUGUCAGCUGUAAAAAUUCUAAACGCCUUUCCAAAGGGAGCUCGUCAACAUGGGCCACGCAUCUGCUGAGGGCGUCAACGUGAGCCAUGCGACUUCCUGGGCGGUGCCUUAUACUAAAGCCGCAUUCGUGCCUGAGCUAAAGUACGCUACUGGGGACCAUUUCCCCUCCUGCUGCCGCUGCAACAGAAUCGCCCCGUACCCUAGACUGCACGCAUCUGUAUGAAGCUGAGUCUCUGCGGAGGGAUUAUACAGACUCAACACCGGAGGUGAGAUUUUCCUCAACGGAUUCAGAAGGAAUCAGAACAUCAUCGAUGUAAACCAGGAUCUUGUCUGCACGAAUCAACGGGUUAAGGAUCCGUAUCAAUCUUUUCUGGAAUUCCGCGGGUGAUUCUGAAUAACCGAAAGGAACUACUCGAGCGCAGUACGGGGAAACGCUGGGCUGAAUUAUUCCCCGUUCAAGAAGAUCGUCGGUGAUCUUUCUGAGUUCCGCUCGCUCCGCGUUUGCAAAACGCCUCGGCGCAAAAGCAUAAAUCGACGGGUCUUUCAAUUGCACUUGGACGGUG